Long non-coding RNA from Venturia canescens, 169 nucleotides. RefSeq lists it as uncharacterized. The transcript is spliced from 2 exons. The record is from RefSeq and is a predicted model, not a curated record. Lineage: Eukaryota; Metazoa; Arthropoda; Insecta; Hymenoptera; Ichneumonidae.
AGUGACACUUGUGAAAAAAUACAGGAAUCAUGUGUUACGAUGUUUUUAAUUUGCGAUUUAAAAAUAUUACAAAUUAUUUUUGACAAAAUGAACACCUGAAAAAACAAUACUGUGAUGAACUAAAUACGUGUAUUUCAUGUUGAACAAACUGAACUUAAAAUGCCUUGUA